UGCCCCAUGGCUGAGUUGGUUACAGCGUCCGACUGUUAGCAAAUACCGCAAUCGGAAGGUCGAGAGUUCGAGCCUCUCUGGGGCAG
This is a non-coding RNA of Lentinula novae-zelandiae, 86 nucleotides long. NCBI's taxonomy places the organism in Eukaryota, Fungi, Basidiomycota, Agaricomycetes, Agaricales, Omphalotaceae. The record is from the annotation of a GenBank genome assembly.